RNAcentral lists this ribosomal RNA (253 nucleotides) under uncultured bacterium. RNAcentral's name for it is "partial 16S ribosomal RNA". It matches the Rfam family "Bacterial small subunit ribosomal RNA", at positions 524 to 776 of the family's 1533-position model. The record is from RNAcentral.
UACGAAGGGAGCUAGCGUUGUUCGGAAUCACUGGGCGUAAAGCGCACGUAGGCGGACGUGUCAGUCAGGGGUGAAAUCCCGGAGCUCAACUUCGGAACUGCCUUUGAUACAGCACGUCUUGAGUCCGGAAGAGGUGGGUGGAAUUCCUAGUGUAGAGGUGAAAUUCGUAGAUAUUAGGAAGAACACCGGUGGCGAAGGCGGCCCACUGGUCCGGUACUGACGCUGAGGUGCGAAAGCGUGGUGAGCAAACAGG